CUACGUGCCAGCAGCCGCGGUAAUACGGAAGGUCCAGGCGUUAUCCGGAUUUAUUGGGUUUAAAGGGAGCGUAGGCCGCCUCUUAAGCGUGUUGUGAAAUGCGGGUGCUCAACAUCCGACUUGCAGCGCGAACUGGGGGGCUUGAGUGCGCCGAAAGUAGGCGGAAUUCGUGGUGUAGCGGUGAAAUGCUUAGAUAUCACGAAGAACUCCGAUUGCGAAGGCAGCUUACUGUAGCGCAACUGACGCUGAUGCUCGAAAGCGUGGGUAUCGAACAGGAUUAGAUACCCUGGUAGUCCACGCAGUAAACGAUGAUAACUGGGCGUAUGCGAUAUACAGUAUGCUCCUAAGCGAAAGCGUUAAGUUAUCCACCUGGGGAGUACGCCGGCAACGGUGAAACUCAAAGGAAUUGACGGGGGCCCGCACAAGCGGAGGAACAUGUGGUUUAAUUCGAUGAUACGCGAGGAACCUUACCCGGGCUUGAACUGCAGCUGAACGAUUCAGAGA
This 504-nucleotide ribosomal RNA is filed under the name uncultured bacterium. RNAcentral's name for it is "bacterial SSU rRNA". It matches the Rfam family "Bacterial small subunit ribosomal RNA", at positions 501 to 1006 of the family's 1533-position model. The record is from RNAcentral.